This 260-nucleotide long non-coding RNA is filed under the name Rhinopithecus bieti (black snub-nosed monkey). Its description in RNAcentral is "lncRNA (ENSRBIG00000045591.1)". Lineage: Eukaryota; Metazoa; Chordata; Mammalia; Primates; Cercopithecidae. The record is from RNAcentral.
GAGAAAUUGUGUUGCUUGGAUGUCAGACAGACUCAGCUUCAAAUUCUGCUGUGAUCACUUCCCAGUUCCCUAAGCUUGGAGACCAUUCUGAAUAAAGAGAUGAUCCAGAGUUGUGCUGACAGUAGCUCUUGUGGAGAUAAAGAAAACUGGCUGGAUAAUGAUGAAGACAUUUCAAGGACAUCCCUAGAAUGCAAUAGCUUUCUCUCUGGGUUUUCUAUGAGAAAAAACUGCAGUGCACAUGUGGCACCCAGAAAGUGGAA